GGAAUUUUCCGCAAUGGGCGAAAGCCUGACGGAGCAACGCCGCGUGAGGGAUGAAGGCCUCUGGGCUGUAAACCUCUUUUAUCAAGGAAGAAGAUCUGACGGUACUUGAUGAAUAAGCCACGGCUAAUUCCGUGCCAGCAGCCGCGGUAAUACGGGAGUGGCAAGCGUUAUCCGGAAUUAUUGGGCGUAAAGCGUCCGCAGGCGGUCUGUCAAGUCUGCUGUUAAAGCGUGGAGCUUAACUCCAUUUCGGCAGUGGAAACUGGCAGACUAGAGUGUGGUAGGGGCAGAGGGAAUUCCCGGUGUAGCGGUGAAAUGCGUAGAUAUCGGGAAGAACACCAGUGGCGAAGGCGCUCUGCUGGGCCAUAACUGACGCUCAUGGACGAAAGCCAGGGGAGCGAAAGGGAUUAGAUACCCCUGUAGUC
RNAcentral lists this ribosomal RNA (422 nucleotides) under uncultured cyanobacterium. RNAcentral's name for it is "bacterial SSU rRNA". It matches the Rfam family "Bacterial small subunit ribosomal RNA", at positions 358 to 795 of the family's 1533-position model. Lineage: Bacteria; Bacillati; Cyanobacteriota. The record is from RNAcentral.